AAUAUACUCUCUCCGUCCGAAAAUACUUGUCAGAAAAAUAGAUAAAAAUGGAUGUAUCUAGAACUAAAAUACGUCUAGAUACAUCCAUUUAUCUGAUAAAUAUUUCCGGACGGUAAUCG
Non-coding RNA from Triticum urartu, 119 nucleotides. Lineage: Eukaryota; Viridiplantae; Streptophyta; Magnoliopsida; Poales; Poaceae. The record is from Rfam.